RNAcentral lists this unclassified non-coding RNA (367 nucleotides) under fungal sp. RNAcentral describes it as "partial internal transcribed spacer region". The stretch from base 1 to 46 matches the Rfam family "Eukaryotic small subunit ribosomal RNA", at positions 1786 to 1831 of the family's 1831-position model. The record is from RNAcentral. Lineage: Eukaryota; Fungi.
AAGUCGUAACAAGGUAACCGUAGGUGAACCUGCGGUUGGAUCAUUAUUGAAAAUCGAUCUUUUAUUAAAACCGGUCUGUUUCCCUCUUUCUCUUUAAAAGACUAUUUAAUAGUUAAAUAGCUAUUAUAACCUUUUGAAGAAAAGUUUUAAGGGAGCAGGUCCACACCCCAAAAACCUUUGUGUGAAUUAGUUUUGUUGUCUUUGCCUGUUCUUCUUUAAAUCUUUUUUUAAAGAAGUCAGGUCUUUUAUAUAAACUCCUAUUUUUUUAGAUUUGUUAGCAAAGUUUUCCUUUGUUAAUCUUUUUUUCUUAUGUUAAAAAGAGAAAUAAAUUAGCAAACAACUUUUGACAACGGAUCUCUUGGUUCUC